CGCACGCUCGUGAGCAGGGGCGAGAAGGAGAACCACCGCCCACCCCAGGAGCGCGAGGAGGACGAGCCCGACGUCGAGGUCGCGCGCAUCGAGCCCGAGAUCCCGCGCCUCUCCUGCCGCUUCCUCCACCUCCGCAUCUUCCCAUGGCUGCACCAACGAGACAGAGGGCGAGUUAGUCUUCCCACGCCAUCGGCCACGGAUCCAGGCGGCGACCCGCCCCCAGCAGUGACCCACACCUGAUCCUGAUUGGAUCUGGGCGGAGCCCCACCCAAGAAGCAGCCGGAAGGCCUUGCCAAAGCUAGCCGCGGACCCCAUAUCAGCUGCUGCAGGAGUGCCCUUCGGCGGUGAGGAUGCUUAGGGCGACAUGGCGCUGGUGCUCCCCAGCGCGGCCACUUCGUCGACGGCCAGGAUUCUUGCUGUCUCCAGUUCCUCAAAUUCUCGUACAUGCCAGCGUCCGAUUUAUGCUUGUGGUCGCCUUCCUGCCAUAGCUACAUCCACGAAUCUGCAAGUUUAGCUCUCCUCUCUUUAACCUUCCUUUCUUUAACCCUCUAUUCUUUCUGUCUGUUUGAUUCGUCAACAAUAUUCGUGUGAAUGAUUUUUUCCAUGGCAGGUGUAGGGUUGUUUAUUAAAGGCUAGGUGAUGUCCUGUGUCUUGGUUGGUGGUCAAUCAUCUUUUGGUUUCUCGUAUUGAUCCUGAGAGACCAGACCUGCUAUUCUCUUUGCAGGAGAGGCUUUUGUUGCCUAGCUUAAUUUUGUUUGGUAGUUCCUUUUGUGUUCGGUAGUGGUAUUUCUUUUGUCUGUCAAAUGCUAGCAAACAAACCAGUGCCAUGGUGGCUAGGAUGGGUCCUCUUAGAUGUCCCUUCGGAUUACAAACCGUGCACGGACCAGUCAACAUUUUUAGUAUUAUACUACAUGACUGCUAAGUAUACAUAGAUUUAGGAAAAAUUACCUGCGGUGAUUCCUGCUCUAGCAUGUGUUCUCCUAAUUCUUGAAUUAUGAACUCAGACCAAGAUUUAUGAAUUCAGACCAAGCAGUGUAUGUACAAUUGGUUGCAGGUAAUAUUCCCACAGUAUCUUAUGUACGUCAUGUUCCAAGCAUCUUCAUUGUUCUCUAUGAUUGGCUGCACGUACAUCACCAUAGUGUUUCAUAAGCAUCAUGUCCCAGACAGUUAAAUCAAUUAUUGAAAUGUUUCGGGCGAUUCAAACUUACUAGAUUGUGAAUGACUUUCUACUUUGGGUAAUAAAAUCGAUGAUAUGUCUUUUCUAUGAUGUCUUGCUUUAUAUGAUCAAUAAUGUACAGGGAAUGACUAAUUUCUUGUAGCCUUUCCCAUGGUAGAUCAGUUUGGCCCCGCUGUGCUGCCUAACUGACUUCGAAUUUGCUGCCAUCUCAAGACCGCCACAGCUAGACCUUGACGGCAUCGGCCAUAUGGACUUGCAGAUCUCUGUGAAUUAUGUAUGUGCUCACGAGGACAUUCCCGUUGCAUCUGAAUUGACAAGUUGAAAGAAUCUGGUCUUUUUGUGCUUGCCUACAAAACUGUCAGAUCUUAUAUUAUAUUUGUUCGCCAAACAAAAACGACUGAUGGUUGAUUGUCUCAACCAUGAACGAGCAUUUCUGGAUUGUAGAACAAAGAGUGUCCCGAGCAAAAGGAUCAAGUGUUGGCAGGUGGGCAUCGGGAGUCCAGGUGGUUGGCUUCAGCCUUUGAGGUGUUGCCGGCUAGCGGCGCCGCUUCUGAGUGUCUCCUCAUCUCACUCCCGUGGCACCUUCGACUGUCCCCUACAAGAGUUAUCACAAUAUGAGAAGGCUCCAAAAGGUGUCACAGUCAGGAAUCUUUUUUCCAGGCAGCCGGUGAUGAUCAGGUAACCAAACCAUAUCACGGGCUGUGUGUUGUGUGGUCCGGCAAAGUAAGCUCUUCUUUUGUGGUAUGUGGAAAGUAAUGCUCUCCUUGUUAUUCAUUUUUGGAGCCGUUAAAUAUUUUUUCCCUCAUAAUAGUUUUAGAUGUUAUGCCUUAGCAUAUUAUAGCAGCAAGAAGUGAAUGUGUUUUAGCUCGUAUCUUCUAAAUUAGUGUCUUCCAUACCAUAUCAGAAAUUAAUGGUUCAUAUCAUGUUUUGUAUUUCUGUUAUAUCGUGUACUUCAAAAUUUGUAUCUCAACCUAGCCUUCAAAAUUAAGCUUAUCGGUCUUGGUAAUAGGAACCAAUGAGGUACUUCUGUAAAGUAAAUACAAAGAUGUACUAUAUAUAUGUGCAAAGUAUCAAUUCAGUACACCAAAUCCAAAUGCCAAGCAAGCACAAAGAUGUCAAAAGCAGUUAAAAUAAUCCUAAACAAUCUGAAAACAUAUAGCUUUGAAUAGACAUAUACUCCCUCUGUCCCAUAAUAUAAGACGUUUUUUGACACUACACCAGUGCCAAAAAAUGUCUUACAUUAUGAGACAGAGGGAGUAUUAUUUUGCUGAAGAGUUCAGUCCAUGCAUGAUUUUUGCCAUCUAAUUUUAUGUUCUGGGCUUAAAUCAGAUAGAGGCUUAAGAAUAUCUGGUUUAAAUAAUGACAGUCUUAAUUUGGAUAAAUAAAAUAACAAGAGCUUCAGACUAAUGUGGAAAAAUUGGUCAAAAUAUAAAAGUUCUAUCUGAUUGUUGAUUUAUAUAUUUUCCUCUAGAAAUGAAGAAGCUUAUUUUAUGGUUGUGAAUUGAAAUGACCGAUGUUUCAUUACUUCUUGAUUAUUGACCUCUUUUUACAUUGGCCAGUCGUAUAUAAAGGUUGCACUUACAUUUUUUUAUGGAAAAUGUCAAAGAGUUUGCUUCGGCUACUGUACAGGUGAGCUGCAUCUUCGUCCUGCUCCUUUGCUUCGGCUACUGUACGGGACAUAGCCAGGGCUAUGAUGAUCGGUUAUGGCUGAUAUAAGCCUGCUCUCGAGCAAUCGAGGCACUUGUGGGUAUUAAGUUGGAUACCCCCUCGUUUCUUUGAGCCGUUUUGAUCAUGUUCUUAUUUUAGUGGCUCUGUCCUUGGAUGGUCAUUUCUGAUGAGUGAUAACCAGGGCAGUUUCACCCUUGUAAGAACAUCCAGAAACAUGAGACCGAUCGAAAACCCCGACUCCUCAACGAUUUGGGCUUCCUGGCCGUCCGAUCGUUUUCCUGAUGCUAUUCUGGCCGUUGGAUCUUGCUCCGGAUCGAUCCUGGCCGCCGGAUCGAAACCCGGCGCUCUACCGACGGGUUAGCUCGUUUGGCUCGCAGCGUCGCUUACUCGGUCUAUUCGACCCGUGCUCGCUGGCGUGUGGAGCCCUUUGCGUGUGGGACGCGUUCAUCAGCGACCGUGUGUUCGGGCAUGGCCUGUGCGUCCAGUCACGUGCCCCACCGGUCGGAGGCCAUUCUUGCUAGGGCAAUGAUGAUUAACCAUGGCUGAAAUAAAUGUGCCUUUGAGCAAUCGAGACACCUGUGGGUAUCAAGUUGGAUCCUCCCUCUUGUCUCUAGAAUCCUUUUUGAUCUUGUGAUACUUAUUGUUCUGUCCUUGGAUGGUCAUUCUUGUUGAGUGAUAACCAGGGCAGCUCCACUCUAUAAACAGAUUUAUCUGGUGAUAAGAGAUGACGGGGGUGGGUCAUAUGAUCGAGAAAAGGCGAAUUUGAGCCCACCAUGCAUUGAACCCCGAAUCCUUUUUAUUUGUAGUUAAAGGUGUUGCUUAUUUAUGCUCUGGUGUUUAUAGCCGUCUUAUGUAAAGAUUUCUUCUCUCUCACACCUUUAUUGCAUAUAAGCUGUUCUUGAUCUUUUAUUGUGUGUUAUUGGUCCUUGAUUUAAUCUGGUUAAGAGUAAGUUGCACUUUGUUAUUCCGGGAUAAGAGAUAGUUCGGCAAUGCUAUUGGUUCUUCAUGAGGAUUUCAGAGGAGGAUUUCAGAUAUUAUUUUAUGGUUAACGGGUCUUGCCAGUAAGCUUUCUGUGUUUGUUUGCCGUGAGGAUCGAUGGGGCAUUGCACACUUAUGUGUACUGCUACCUGGUCAUCAUUGGUCUUUUGUUAUAAAGACCUUGCUAUGAUUUUGUAUGGUCCUUCUUCCCUAAGGUGUAUUAUGAGUGGUUUUUCGAGCUGUGGAAUGUAUUCCUAAUCCUGUUCUAUAGGCCUUUCUGAACUUGAUGUCUGAGUUCUACUGGACAAUGCUUAUUUGGCCAGAUGCUCAUGGGUUGAGUUAUUUGAUGCAUUGCUUUCACUAUCAAUUUGUUCGCUGCUUUGAGCAUCUAGCUGCAUACUGUAUUGUUUUGUAUUUGGUGCACUUUACCAAGAGCGCACAGAGGGAGAUCUUCUCCACCGCGCCGGUGACAGCAACAGGGAAAAACCAGUCCACGGUGUCAUAGGUUUGUGAUUCUUAUCUGUCGCCCAUUGUGGCGUGGGUUCAUGUUCUUGGGUUAUUAUUUCUUCUUUUCUAGAAUAUCUCUUCAAAUUUAUUGGAUAGUGUUGUUGGAUUGUGUCUCCCUAAAUUUAUUAGAUAGUGCAAUUGUUGGUUUGUUUUGAUUAAUCCCUGCUUGGUCAUUUAUCUUAGGGAUCAGACAUGUCUUCAACCCCUGAUUCGUCGAUGCUAUCGGAGCGCCCUUCGGCGGGGAGAAGGCCGAGGGCGAUGCCGUCCCCCAAUCCCAUGCCUCCAGCCCCUGCUUCUACUAGGCUACAUUUGAGAUGGAGAGGACUAGCCUUUGGAGCAGGCUAGAUAUGCUAUUGGAUAUUGAAGGAUUUGGAGCAGGCUGCGUUUUCUAUGACAGACUGGUUAUGCAUGGAUUUGGAUGUAAUACUUAAAAACAAGUGAUGUCUUCACAGUAAUAUCCAUGUACUUUUGAUAUGUGACUUCUCUUUGGCAUUGUUGUUCAUUAGGUUCAGUUGAAUCACCAUGGGCGACGCAAUGGCCGUCUGCUACAUCUCACAAGAUGCCAUUAGUUGUGUCCUUUUUGUAAUCACAUAUGUACCGAGCACUUGUUCUUCUAUGCGUAUGACUGUAUGGACUAUUAUGCUGGUUAUGCAAACUACAUGACACUUGUGCUUUCCACAA
Long non-coding RNA from Triticum dicoccoides, 5011 nucleotides. RefSeq lists it as uncharacterized. The record is from RefSeq and is a predicted model, not a curated record. The transcript has 6 exons. Lineage: Eukaryota; Viridiplantae; Streptophyta; Magnoliopsida; Poales; Poaceae.